UUAAAAAGGAAAAAGGCAUAGUUCGCAUAAAAAGGGUACUCAAAGAACUUGUAUACGCGUUAUAUUCCUUAAAAGGAAAAAGGCAUCAUUAGGGGCUUGGCUAAAACAUUAUCAGAGUUUGCAACGGAAGGCGUAACUGAAAUAAUCAGUGUUUACAGCGGAAAGCAUAACUGUGAUACAUGUAUGAAGACAUGUAUCCUUUCUGAGCC
This 209-nucleotide long non-coding RNA is filed under the name Salvia miltiorrhiza (redroot sage). RNAcentral's name for it is "long non-coding RNA (SMIL_LNC013244)". The record is from RNAcentral. Lineage: Eukaryota; Viridiplantae; Streptophyta; Magnoliopsida; Lamiales; Lamiaceae.